This 483-nucleotide ribosomal RNA is filed under the name Salmonella enterica subsp. enterica serovar Kentucky. RNAcentral's name for it is "partial 23S ribosomal RNA". It matches the Rfam family "Bacterial large subunit ribosomal RNA", at positions 66 to 588 of the family's 2925-position model. Lineage: Bacteria; Pseudomonadati; Pseudomonadota; Gammaproteobacteria; Enterobacterales; Enterobacteriaceae. The record is from RNAcentral.
CUGCGAUAAGCGCCGGUAAGGUGAUAUGAACCGUUAUAACCGGCGAUACCCGAAUGGGGAAACCCAGUGUGACUCGUCACACUAUCAUUAACUGAAUCCAUAGGUUAAUGAGGCGAACCGGGGGAACUGAAACAUCUAAGUACCCCGAGGAAAAGAAAUCAACCGAGAUUCCCCCAGUAGCGGCGAGCGAACGGGGAGGAGCCCAGAGCCUGAAUCAGCAUGUGUGUUAGUGGAAGCGUCUGGAAAGGCGCGCGAUACAGGGUGACAGCCCCGUACACAAAAGCGCAUGUGCUGUGAGCUCGAUGAGUAGGGCGGGACACGUGGUAUCCUGUCUGAAUAUGGGGGGACCAUCCUCCAAGGCUAAAUACUCCUGACUGACCGAUAGUGAACCAGUACCGUGAGGGAAAGGCGAAAAGAACCCCGGCGAGGGGAGUGAAAAAGAACCUGAAACCGUGUACGUACAAGCAGUGGGAGCACAGGUUU